CAUUCAGUAGCCUAGCUACUUGUUUACGCCCUUGUUUUUGCGUACCUAUUGUUUCCUCGGCGGGCUUGCUCGCCGGUUGGACAAAUACUAUAACCUUUUUAAAUCUUCAAUCAGCGUCUGAAUUAUAUACAAUAAUUA
This 138-nucleotide unclassified non-coding RNA is filed under the name uncultured Ascomycota. RNAcentral's name for it is "sequence contains ITS1". The record is from RNAcentral. Lineage: Eukaryota; Fungi; Ascomycota.